UCCUCAGUAUGCUGUUUCAGUCCUGAGUUAGGUCUGUGGGGCCGGGAGCUUCUCUGUCAGAUUCUGUGCAAAUAUCCUGACUUAACAACAGGCUCCGUGGCAAAAGCCAAUGCCUCAUAGUGAAAGAGGCCCACUCAAAUGAAAUGCCAACCUGUCCUUGGAGGCUCUGACCAGCAGAUGAUGGGAUUAGCAGUUUGUCCUGUGCUAUAAGUAGGCUGCCCUGCAUCUUGCCCGGCUCAGGGUGCCCAGGGAUGACCUGGCACUGCAGGGGUCUGC
Molecule: long non-coding RNA, 276 nt
Organism: Cygnus atratus (black swan)
Lineage: Eukaryota; Metazoa; Chordata; Aves; Anseriformes; Anatidae
Exons: 3
Source: RefSeq, a predicted model, not a curated record